UGGGGAAUUUUGGACAAUGGGGGCAACCCUGAUCCAGCAAUGCCGCGUGAGUGAAGAAGGCCUUCGGGUUGUAAAGCUCUUUUGUCCGGGAAGAAAUCCCAUCCCUGAAUACGGGAUGGGGAUGACGGUACUGGAAGAAUAAGCACCGGCUAACUACGUGCCAGCAGCCGCGGUAAUACGUAGGGUGCAAGCGUUAAUCGGAAUUACUGGGCGUAAAGCGUGCGCAGGCGGUUGUGCAAGACCGAUGUGAAAUCCCCGGGCUUAACCUGGGAACUGCAUUGGUGACUGCACGGCUAGAGUGUGUCAGAGGGGGGUAGAAUUCCACGUGUAGCAGUGAAAUGCGUAGAGAUGUGGAGGAAUACCGAUGGCGAAGGCAGCCCCCUGGGAUAACACUGACGCUCAUGCACGAAAGCGUGGGGAGCAAACAGGAUUAGAUACCCUGGUAGUCCACGCCCUAAACGAUGUCAACUAGUUGUCGGGGAUUAAUUUCCUUGGUAACGCAGCUAACGCGUGAAGUUG
This 519-nucleotide ribosomal RNA is filed under the name uncultured bacterium. RNAcentral's name for it is "partial 16S ribosomal RNA". It matches the Rfam family "Bacterial small subunit ribosomal RNA", at positions 355 to 867 of the family's 1533-position model. The record is from RNAcentral.